This 440-nucleotide ribosomal RNA is filed under the name Gulella cf. augur 'Uluguru'. Its description in RNAcentral is "partial 16S ribosomal RNA". It matches the Rfam family "Bacterial large subunit ribosomal RNA", at positions 1829 to 2597 of the family's 2925-position model. Lineage: Eukaryota; Metazoa; Mollusca; Gastropoda; Stylommatophora; Streptaxidae. The record is from RNAcentral.
AGCUUGAAGUGGUCGAUUUUAAGUGUUUCCUGCCCAGUGAUUUUUUUAACGGCCGCAGUACCUUGACUGUGCUAAGGUAGCAUAAUAAUUUGGCUUUUAAAUGGAGUCUAGAAUGAAUGGAGCUUGGGGGGUAACCUGUCUAAGGGGAAUAAUAUUAAUUUACUUUAGAGGUGAAAAUUUCCUCUAAUAAGAAGAAGGACGAGAAGACCCUAAGAAUUUUUUUAAGUUUAUUUUCAAUUUUAAUCUUAAUUUUGUUGGGGUGACAUGUCAACAUAAUUUAACUUGAUUAAUAUUAUAAGUAAGGUAUAUUUCUAGUGUGAGUUAAAUUACCUUAGGGAUAACAGCAUAAUUUAAAUUGUUAGAUUGUGACCUCGAUGUUGGACUAGGGAGUAUUAUGGCUAGACGCUAAAUUAAUUUGUUCUGUUCGAACACCUGUCCCU